CACACUAUCAUUAACUGAAUCCAUAGGUUAAUGAGGCGAACCGGGGGAACUGAAACAUCUAAGUACCCCGAGGAAAAGAAAUCAACCGAGAUUCCCCCAGUAGCGGCGAGCGAACGGGGAGCAGCCCAGAGCCUGAAUCAGUGUGUGUGUUAGUGGAAGCGUCUGGAAAGGCGCGCGAUACAGGGUGACAGCCCCGUACACAAAAAUGCACAUGCUGUGAGCUCGAUGAGUAGGGCGGGACACGUGGUAUCCUGUCUGAAUAUGGGGGGACCAUCCUCCAAGGCUAAAUACUCCUGACUGACCGAUAGUGAACCAGUACCGUGAGGGAAAGGCGAAAAGAACCCCGGCGAGGGGAGUGAAAAAGAACCUGAAACCGUGUACGUACAAGCAGUGGGAGCACAGAGCAAUCUGUGUGACUGCGUACCUUUUGUAUAAUGGGUCAGCGACUUAUAUUCUGUAGCAAGGUUAACCGAAUAGGGGAGCCGAAGGGAAACCGAGUCUUAACUGGGCGUUAAGUUGCAGGGUAUAGACCCGAAACCCGGUGAUCUAGCCAUGGGCAGGUUGAAGGUUGGGUAACACUAACUGGAGGACCGAACCGACUAAUGUUGAAAAAUUAGCGGAUGACUUGUGGCUGGGGGUGAAAGGCCAAUCAAACCGGGAGAUAGCUGGUUCUCCCCGAAAGCUAUUUAGGUAGCGCCUCGUGAAUUCAUCUCCGGGGGUAGAGCACUGUUUCGGCAAGGGGGUCAUCCCGACUUACCAACCCGAUGCAAACUGCGAAUACCGGAGAAUGUUAUCACGGGAGACACACGGCGGGUGCUAACGUCCGUCGUGAAGAGGGAAACAACCCAGACCGCCAGCUAAGGUCCCAAAGUCAUGGUUAAGUGGGAAACGAUGUGGGAAGGCCCAGACAGCCAGGAUGUUGGCUUAGAAGCAGCCAUCAUUUAAAGAAAGCGUAAUAGCUCACUGGUCGAGUCGGCCUGCGCGGAAGAUGUAACGGGGCUAAACCAUGCACCGAAGCUGCGGCAGCGACGCU
This 1033-nucleotide ribosomal RNA is filed under the name Escherichia coli. RNAcentral describes it as "partial 23S ribosomal RNA". It matches the Rfam family "Bacterial large subunit ribosomal RNA", at positions 144 to 1215 of the family's 2925-position model. The record is from RNAcentral. Lineage: Bacteria; Pseudomonadati; Pseudomonadota; Gammaproteobacteria; Enterobacterales; Enterobacteriaceae.